This 407-nucleotide long non-coding RNA is filed under the name Phascolarctos cinereus (koala). Its description in RNAcentral is "lncRNA (ENSPCIG00000032983.1)". Lineage: Eukaryota; Metazoa; Chordata; Mammalia; Diprotodontia; Phascolarctidae. The record is from RNAcentral.
UCCAUCUUGGGAGGUCUUCCAGGAGAAUCUGGAGUACUACUUCUCAUUGAGGGUGUAGUGAAGAUUCCUCUUCAGGGGUGGGUUCCACUAAGCUGUACUCUGGGUCCUUCUGAUGCUAAAAUUCUGUGAUUCACCCUCUCUACUCCUAGGCCUUUAUGAAUAGCUUCUCUCGGGCUGUGGCCUUGGAAUACCAGUCCUCUGGAGUUAUCAUACAGGGCUUGUUGCUGUGGCCCCUGAACUCCAACUUCAAAUUCAUCAUCCCGACUCUGAUGUUCUUCUACUCUCUGCUCAGUGCAUCCAGAAGUUCCUGAAGAAGUUGUGGGAAGGAGGUCCCCUUUGAGGAGAAACCCCAGCCCUGAGAAGCUGUAGCUGUAACUUGUUAUAAUAAAUUGGUUUCUCUUUAGCCA